GCGUUGUUCGGAAUUACUGGGCGUAAAGAGCGCGUAGGCGGUUUAGUAAGUUGGAAGUGAAAGCCCGAGGCUUAACCUCGGAAUUGCUUUCAAAACUGCUAGGCUAGAGUGUAGUAGGGGAUGAUGGAAUUCCUAGUGUAGAGGUGAAAUUCUUAGAUAUUAGGAGGAACACCGGUGGCGAAGGCGGUCAUCUGGGCUACAACUGACGCUGAGGCGCGAAAGCGUG
This 226-nucleotide ribosomal RNA is filed under the name uncultured bacterium. RNAcentral's name for it is "partial 16S ribosomal RNA". It matches the Rfam family "Bacterial small subunit ribosomal RNA", at positions 538 to 763 of the family's 1533-position model. The record is from RNAcentral.